GUGGGGAAUCUUGCGCAAUGGGGGCAACCCUGACGCAGCGACGCCGCGUGCGGGAUGAAGGCCUUCGGGUUGUAAACCGCUUUCAGCAGGGACGAGGCCGCAAGGUGACGGUACCUGCAGAAGAAGCCCCGGCUAACUACGUGCCAGCAGCCGCGGUAAUACGUAGGGGGCGAGCGUUAUCCGGAUUCAUUGGGCGUAAAGCGCGCGUAGGCGGCUUGUUAGGUCAGGAGUCAAAUCCUGGGGCUUAACCCCAGUCCGCUCUUGAUACCGGCAGGCUUGAGUCUGGUAGGGGAAGGUGGAAUUCCAAGUGUAGCGGUGGAAUGCGCAGAUAUUUGGAAGAACACCGGUGGCGAAGGCGGCCUUCUGGGCCACGACUGACGCUGAGGCGCGAAAGCUAGGGGAGCGAACAGGAUUAGAAACCCUAGUAGUCC
This 431-nucleotide ribosomal RNA is filed under the name uncultured bacterium. RNAcentral describes it as "bacterial SSU rRNA". It matches the Rfam family "Bacterial small subunit ribosomal RNA", at positions 354 to 796 of the family's 1533-position model. The record is from RNAcentral.